CACUCCUGCGGGAGGCAGCAGUGGGGAAUUUUGGACAAUGGGCGAAAGCCUGAUCCAGCCAUGCCGCGUGCAGGAUGAAGGCCUUCGGGUUGUAAACUGCUUUUGUACGGAACGAAACGGCCUUUUCUAAUAAAGAGGGCUAAUGACGGUACCGUAAGAAUAAGCACCGGCUAACUACGUGCCAGCAGCCGCGGUAAUACGUAGGGUGCAAGCGUUAAUCGGAAUUACUGGGCGUAAAGCGUGCGCAGGCGGUUAUGUAAGACAGUUGUGAAAUCCCCGGGCUCAACCUGGGAACUGCAUCUGUGACUGCAUAGCUAGAGUACGGUAGAGGGGGAUGGAAUUCCGCGUGUAGCAGUGAAAUGCGUAGAUAUGCGGAGGAACACCGAUGGCGAAGGCGAUCCCCUGGACCUGUACUGACGCUCAUGCACGAAAGCGUGGGGAGCAAACAGGAUUAGAUACCCCAGUAGUCCCAUG
RNAcentral lists this ribosomal RNA (474 nucleotides) under uncultured organism. RNAcentral describes it as "partial 16S ribosomal RNA". It matches the Rfam family "Bacterial small subunit ribosomal RNA", at positions 334 to 799 of the family's 1533-position model. The record is from RNAcentral.